AUGACAUAUGGGACUAGAAAAUGUAACCCAACUCUGUUUGCCUCCCUCAGCUGCAAUCCUACCACACCGGGUGAAGGUAUCCCAGAGCUUCUGCGUCAAUGGCUAGGCCGUCGACAGAGAGUCGGCGGGACUCUCUCCCCCUGGCCAACCCCAGCUAUGCAUUGCGUCGGCGUUUCUCAGGGACGGUGUUGCUGCCCCCGCUGUCCCGGCGCCACUCCACCUACGCCCAGGACAACCGCAGGCUUCUACACCUGGAAGCUCUCUAUAGGAAGGCCCUGGCUGGCGUAGAAGCCACGAGCCUGGAAACCAUCGACGACUGCAAGUCAGUGGAGCAGCUUGUUAAUCUUUCAACUAUCUCUCUCUAAUUCUCUCUCACACACUUUGUUUUUUGUCUCAUUUUACUGUCAACUCUCAAGUGAGCUGCCUCUCUUUAUUUCUCACUCUGUCCCUCGAGUGCUCACAAUCUCUUGUUUCUCUCCCUCUUUUUCUCUCCUCCAUGUGCUCAACAAGCCAUGAGAGGUCCACAGUGUGAUUCAUUGAGAAGGCUACUGUGUGAUAUUGAUGUCUUAUGCUGGGGUUUGAAUUUACUCCACACUUCAGGAAAAUAUGAUGUAAUCUCAGAAGGACAGACUGUCAACUGACUUUUUGUCAAAUUUCACCUGUGACAUUUGGUUUUCGAAUCCAUCUAUUCUUGCAGCCAAGCCUGAGGGAGCAGAGUCUGAAUAACUUUUGUGGAUGUGUGUGGGCGUGGCCGGUGUCUGUUUGUCCCCAGAUGUCUGUGUGUUUAUGCACUCACUCACACAGCGUCUUCCCAUCACGCCUGCCUGCCCCUACUUCUCUAAGUACGUGCUCAUCGACCUUCAUGUUCUUGGCUGCGCUUUAAUCUCUCUGAAUCCCGCAUCUCUCUAGGCCCAGAGGGGGUUAAGAAAAGCCUUCUGUCUGACGACUGCUCCUCUCAGUCCUCUGUGUUCUCUUUUUAGUUGUCUCAUCUCUAUACCUUUCUUUUAUAUCGCUCUCUUUCGGCACAUUUUGCUGUUGGCCUUCCAUGGAAAAUAACCCAAAUUUGGUGUCAAAUGAAAGCUAUUAGUCUAUAUUUUUUAGAUAUUAAGGCAUAUAACAUUUUCAACCAUUUCCAUCCUAAAAUUAGGAAUAAGCAGAAGCUUUGAUUUCUAGUCAAACAGAUGGAAAAACGGGUCUUAGAAGCAAAAGCAAAAGUCUUAAAAAUAUUAGAAAUGCCUCAAAACACAAUAAUGUUGAAGACCCUCGCCAACUAAUACCAACAUUUAUAUAAAAUGAUUUACCUUCAGUAAGUUUAAGAAAUAUUGCCUCGUCUUAUUAUUCUGUUACAACAAACCCACAUACUGUAUCUUUAAGAUAUUUUCUAAUUUCUCUCCCUUAUGAGGAGGGAGGAUAAUAAAAGAUCACAGAAGUAAAGGUAGAUCUACAGUUAUAGUGUUUUAACUGAUAACAAUUUGGUUUAAGGUUCAUUAAGUGACUUGAAAACGUGUCAUGAC
RNAcentral lists this long non-coding RNA (1514 nucleotides) under Oncorhynchus mykiss (rainbow trout). RNAcentral's name for it is "lncRNA (ENSOMYG00000076138.1)". Lineage: Eukaryota; Metazoa; Chordata; Actinopteri; Salmoniformes; Salmonidae. The record is from RNAcentral.